AGCUGACUCCCGCAGAACAGCGUUAUGCCACCAUAAAUAGGGAAGCAUUGACAGUCAAGUGGGGAGUCCUGGAGCUCCGUUAUUACCUCCUCGGCUGCCACCCUCCUCACGGACCACGCUCCCCUGCAGUGGAUGGCCCAGGCGAAGGAGACCAACGCCAAGGUGACGCGGUGGUUCUUGGCGCUCCAGGACUUUAACUUCACCAUACAACAUCGGACGGGGACGGCCAACGCCGACGGACUCUCCCACCUGUGGUCAGCUCUCGCAGGUCUGUCAGGCUCCACUUCCCCGCCCUCCCCCGAUCUCCCCGCUGCUCCAGAGGUAUAGGAUGAUGCUUAGGUGGGGGGAGUGUGACACGUGUCCUGAGCGCUCAUCAGCGUCGCCCUGACAACGCUGCAGACACACCUGCGCCUACUCAUCACGGGCUGAGCGUCCACACCUGCAUGUCAUCAGCCGCUGCAGAUAUAAACCCCGCAAGCGGGCACUGAGGUGAGAGAUGUCUCCACGAGAUUCGGCUAACGUUGUCUUUUCCUCUGCCCCUAGAAAGCAGCGUGAGCGCCAGCCCCAACGCCACAGGAGAGCACGGACCCACACUGCACUAGAGCACGUUCAAGACAAGACGCCGAGUACCAAACACCCCAAACCACCUCACAGCAUUGCCCGUCCUUUCACGGAUUCCCUAAAUAAAAUCCACCUUUCGGGGAACUUACCCUCAUCCUUGUGUCGUGUCCUACUUCACCCCGCCACAAUAUACAGAUGGCAGUAGGUUGACUUUUUUGAUAUUCUGUAUCUGGAUUGAUCUUGACAUGACUGUCUGAUUUGAAUACCUGCAAAAAACUGCAGUUGCCAGCUCUUCUAAAAUCUAUGAUUGUACGACCAGUUUUUGUGUUUCUUGUAUAUCUUCUAACAUUUAAACUUGCUAUCUGUUGUA
This is a long non-coding RNA of Carassius carassius (crucian carp), 931 nucleotides long. RefSeq lists it as uncharacterized. The transcript is spliced from 2 exons. Lineage: Eukaryota; Metazoa; Chordata; Actinopteri; Cypriniformes; Cyprinidae. The record is from RefSeq and is a predicted model, not a curated record.